GACACAAAAAACACAGUGAAGCUGCUCUACAAACCUUGACAAAAACAUGUCAUUUCCAAGCCUCGCAAACCAAAACCUGCAGUUGUCAGGAUCUUCAAAUCAAACAGGACUUGUCCAGCAGAAUGAAUGAAUACCAGUUUUCACGGUUCUGCUUUGAUGGCUGCUUUAGCAAAGUCGCUAAGUGCAGAAGUACCUAAGAGUUCUAUGCCAUAAAGAUAUUCAAGAGCCCCAAUGAGUUCCAGAAGCCCAACAGAGAGCUGACCAUGCUGAAAAACAUCAGUGGGCUUGACCCUGUGAGUAUUGGUCGGUUCUUUGAGGACUUUCAACAGAAAGGCACACUUGUCUAGUGUUUGAAAUGCUACACGUGGAUAUAGACAUAUUGGAAAAGAAGCUACACUGCAAACCACUCUCCCUUCAUGAGAUUAAACCCAUAACACAGCAGAUGUCUGAAGCGUACCGACUGGGACUGGAUUCCCACCUCAGAGAGGCAAAGCGACUGAGUUCAAAAGUCUGUACGACCUGGUGGUGCUGUACCCAGAUGUGAAAACAUAUGAGGACAAGAUAAAGUUUGUCAGCCUUCUGGGGAUGAUGCUGCAUCUGAAUCCUCACUACACCAAGUGAUGCGCUGACACACCCGUGCUUGAGCGCCUGUAAAUCGGAGUGAUGCCACCAGUUUUGAGUGAAUCAUUUUCUGUGUGUAUUACUUUUUGGCUUACACUUCUGCAGUGAGAUUAAACUUUCGUCAUCCAGUGGCAUAGACCCCACCAGUGGUGAAAUCAGCAGGAGAAGGCAACACCACAACAACUAAAGAAUCACCCUCAGAUUGUGCCACAGUUUUGGCUCACGCUGCUACAGAUGAUGCCGCAGUUGGAUCAGAAAUGACUUGCAGAAACAACGCCGUCUCAGCUGCUCAAGCAGCCUCAGAGAGCGCUGCCAGAUUAACGGAUGACUCUGCCUCUUCAGAGGAAGAUUUGGGUGAGGCUCUAAGAGCAGCAUCAAACGAGCCUGCACUCAUACACAUUGUAACCACGCCCAUGAUGACUGCCCUCUGUGGCACUGCUUCAGCUGUCAGGAACGGUCUUCAUGUUCUCAGCUUCAAAGGUUAACAAUGAGUCACAUGAAGUUGCCAACGGUUCCGCAGAUUGAGUCUCAGCUGAAGCAAAUGAUGCUGUCCGAGCUGAUGACGUCCGGUCAGCAGCACCACACUGGGUGAAGUUAACUGUGACCCUAGUAUGGACAGAAAUGCUCGGACUGAAAGCAGUUAGAAAAUGUUUGGACAGGAUGUUUAGCUCUCCAUACUGCUGUGGCUAUAAGUCAACAUAAUCGUUCAAUGUUUUUCUCAUAUUCCCACAAAUUAAAUACAAAUAUUAACUUACAGGCCUUGAGUUGUCUGACCUGGUGACUGAAAAAGCAGUCACAUAGCAACAGCCUCAGCAGAUGCAGUGACAGCAGUUGUAGCAGGAGGAGCACUUGUGUCAGCUUCACUAUAACACCAAUGCUGUAGUUUUAGUAGCUGUAAGUUUUGAAACUGAAAAAAAAAAUCAUCAUUAAUCAUUUGCCUUUAAUAUUUUUCCUCACAAAGUUUAAUUACUUUACAAAAUUUUUCACAUUUAAAUCAACUGCUGCGAAUAUUUCAGUUCAAGUUUAAACACCAAAUACCAGAUUUGCUUUGGAAGCUAAUCAUUAUCAGAUAUUUAACUUAUGUGAAAGAUUGUAUUAUUUAUCUGCAGUUAAAAAAUAUAACAAAUACAAAUAACUCAACCCCCACGUAUGCAUCUCUUUGGAACUAAAAAGAGACCAUUUUUGUGCCUGAUAUCACACAAAAACUAUAAAAAAAAUGGAAAUGUGUGGUGUGGUAAGGUCAUUAAUCCACUUCAGCACCUAGAAAUAAAUAUACUAUGCAUGCCUGUUCGUGAUUAGUUACGGGUUCAUGAUGUUGUUUAAAGUAAGUUGUUUAGGCUUGAAUUUGUUGUGUAGCCUGUAAAGGUAGCCAAGUGUAUAGGCUAUAAUUAUACAGGAAUUCCUCUUCCAAACAGUUUGAAAUGCACAUAAGCGAUGGUAUAAAUGCGCUCUGACAAAAUUACAGUGUGAGUUGAGAUAAUGCCCCCUUGCUGGUCACCUGUCCAGCACAUAUGGUCUGACAUCUCUGACUCUCUGACUGUGCUUGAUAUUAAAGAUGUAUAGCAUGGUGCACCCAAUUUCAGUAACAUAAAUGAUGUGAAAACUUUUUCCACCACUCUCCUUUGGUAACACACAAACACCAACCAUCUGCAGGUUUGCUGACUGCAAAUAAAGACUCCAGGUCUCUGAUUUCUUGCUUAAAAUAUGCACACAGACACACACGACUCUGAAUUUUUGACUGAAAGUAAGCUGGGCUUUUUUGUUUUUACAGUAAAGUCAAAUUCCUCUGUACUGAAAAAAAUAGACUUCACACACUGAAUUUCAAGUACUUGUUCAGGAUCUAAUAGGGGAAUGCAUUCAGAGUCUUCCAGAAUGUUAAAUCUUCUUU
Long non-coding RNA from Oreochromis niloticus (Nile tilapia), 2509 nucleotides. RefSeq lists it as uncharacterized. Lineage: Eukaryota; Metazoa; Chordata; Actinopteri; Cichliformes; Cichlidae. The transcript is spliced from 5 exons. The record is from RefSeq and is a predicted model, not a curated record.